Molecule: ribosomal RNA, 737 nt
Filed under: Bacillus aerius
Lineage: Bacteria; Bacillati; Bacillota; Bacilli; Caryophanales; Bacillaceae
Description: bacterial SSU rRNA
Rfam family: Bacterial small subunit ribosomal RNA
Source: RNAcentral
CAUGGGGUACUUGACUGCCGAAGAGGAGAGUGGAAUGUCGCGCGUAGCGGUGAAUGCGUAGAGAUGUGGAGGAACACCAGUGGCGAAGGCGACUCUCUGGUCUGUAGCUGACGAUGAGGAGCGAAAGCGUGGGGAGCGAACAGGAUUAGAUACCCUGGUAGUCCACGCCGUAAACGAUGAGUGCUAAGUGUUAGGGGGUUUCCGCCCCUUAGUGCUGCAGCUAACGCAUUGAGCACUCCGCCUGGGGAGUACGGUCGCAAGCAUGAAACUCAAAGGAAUUGACGGGGGCCCGCUCAAGCGGUGGAGCAUGUGGUUUAAUUUGAAGCAACGCGCAGAACCUUACCAGGUCUUGACAUCCUCUGACAAUCCUAGAGAUAGGACGUCCCUUUCGGGGGCAGAGUGACAGGUGGUGCAUGGUUGUCGUCAGCUCGUGUGGUGAGAUGUUGGGUUAAGUCCCGCAACGAGCGCAACCCUUGAUCUUAGUUGCCAGCAUUCCCUUAUAUUUUCUGGGGCGGCCGGCGGUGACAAACCGGGGGAAGGUGGGGAUGACGCGCAAUCAUCAUGCCCCCUAUGACCUGGGUUUCCCACGUGAUUCAAUGGACAGAACAAAGGGCAGCGAAACCGCGAGGCUAAGCGAAUGCCACAAAAACCUCGCGGUUCGGAUGGCAGUGUUAACUCGACUGCGCACGUGUGGAACCCCAGUAAUCACGGACCAGCAUGCUCGACGUGCAUGAACC